AGAGUGGGUCAGAUGGUCGCGUGUGCAAGCAUGAGGAAAGUCCGGACUCCACAGGGCAGGAUGCCAGCUAACGGCUGGGCGGGGUGACCCGACGGAAAGUGCCACAGAAAAGAAAACUCCCCUACUCGCAAGAGCCUUAAAGGAUCUUGUCGUUAGGAGAAAAGCUGAAACGGUGCGGUAAGAGCGCACCAGCGUCACGGCAACGUGACGGCUUGGCAAACCCCAUCCGGAGCAAGUGCAAAUAGGGACGCCAUGGGUUGCCCGGCCCGCGUCCGGGUUGCUCGCUAGAGGGCGUUGGCAACAGCGCUCCCAGAUAAAUGACCAUCCUCGACAGAAUCCGGCUUAUCGGCCCACUCUGGGU
This 361-nucleotide RNase P RNA is filed under the name Coriobacteriales bacterium. Its description in RNAcentral is "RNase P RNA component class A". It matches the Rfam family "Bacterial RNase P class A". From Rfam's summary of the family: Ribonuclease P (RNase P) is a ubiquitous endoribonuclease, found in archaea, bacteria and eukarya as well as chloroplasts and mitochondria. Its best characterised activity is the generation of mature 5'-ends of tRNAs by cleaving the 5'-leader elements of precursor-tRNAs. The record is from RNAcentral. Lineage: Bacteria; Bacillati; Actinomycetota; Coriobacteriia; Coriobacteriales.